AGCCACACGCAGCGGCACAGACGCGUUCCCGGUCCCGCCGUGCUCCCUGCGCGCCCGGCAGCGCUCGCACCGCUCCCCGACAUCGGCAGCCAAGGACCCCCCCGCCGCUGUCCGGCCAUUAGUGCCUGGGGGGGGGAGGAGGAGGAGGAGGGAGGAAGGAGGAAUAAGUCUAUUAGUAAUAACAACAACAACAACAAAACCCACCAACAAAUCCGCACUAGCGCCUUAGUCCUUCUCUCAGACCGUCGACUGCCUGGCAUCGCCGUGCAUCGGGCUGCUGUGCUGGGACUUUGUUUCAAGUAAAAAAAAAAAAAAAAGCAAACAAACAAAAAAACCUUCGCUUGCUCAGCCACUUCCAUUUUUUCCCCUGCAGUCUCGCUGGUUUGAGGUGGUUGUUUUUUGUUGUUGGUUUUUUUUUUUCCUUUUUCCCUUCAUGUGGUUGGAUUUGGUGGAUCCGGAGGCAAAGCUGCUUUUUUUCCUCGGUGGGGUGUGCGUGUGGCGUGCGGGGAUUUUCUCGCUGCGUUUUUUAUCUUCUGCUGCUUUUUUUAAUCUUGGUUUUGAACCUGAGCCGGGAAAAAUGGGAAACGGUGCUUCCGUCAGAAGGGGAAUCUCUCCAUCACUGUUGUUGGGACGUGUGCCUGUGGUGCUAGUGUUUUAGAGAAAUAGCCUGACAGCUUUCGGAGUGGAAGCGCUGCAGUUUAAAAGUUAGAGAAGUCCGUCUUGCGACAGGUCUGCUUCCCUGAGAGUAAUUUCCAGCGAGACCGAGAAAACCUGAGGCCAAAUGACAUAGGAUGAAGGCUGUUCGUAAUUUGCUGAUUUAUAUAUUUUCCACCUAUCUACUGGUUAUGUUUGGAUUUAAUGCUGCCCAAGACUUCUGGUGUUCCACGUUGGUGAAGGGGGUCAUUUAUGGAUCGUAUUCUGUAAGUGAAAUGUUUCCUAAAAACUUCACAAACUGCACUUGGACGCUGGAAAACCCAGAUCCAACCAAAUAUAGUAUUUACCUGAAAUUUUCCAAAAAGGACUUCAGAUGCUCCAACUUUUCCCUCUUGGCUUAUCAGUUUGAUCAUUUUUCCCAUGAAAAAAUAAAGGAUCUUUUAAAGAAUAACCAUUCUAUAAUGCAGCUCUGCAAUUCCAAGAAUGCUUUUGUAUUUCUGCAGUAUGAUAAGAAUUUUAUUCAGAUACGUCGCGUCUAUCCUAUCAACUUCCUGGGAUUACACAAAAAAGAAGAAGACCAAAAAUCCUUCUUUGAAUUUUUGGUGUUGAACAAGGUGAGCCCAAGCCAGUUUGGGUGCCAUGUGUUAUGCACUUGGUUGGAGAGCUGCUUGAAAUCCGAGAACGGGAGAACUGAGUCCUGUGGGAUCAUGUAUACAAAAUGCACCUGCCCUCAGCAUUUGGGAGAAUGGGGAAUAGACGACCAGUCCCUGGUGUUGCUCAAUAACGUGGUGCUGCCCCUCAACGAGCAGACAGAAGGCUGCCUGACCCAGGAGCUGCAAACCACCCAGGUCUGCAAUCUCACCAGAGAAGCCAAAAGGCCGCCAAAAGAAGGUAGGUGCUUCUUGGAGGGGGGCUGAAUGCCAUGCCAGUGUGUAAGCCCAGCUGCUGGCUCUCCUUAAUACUCACAUUCAUU
This is an RNA transcript of Empidonax traillii (willow flycatcher), 1627 nucleotides long. It is a transcript of the gene named adhesion G protein-coupled receptor B3-like, with no coding region annotated. Lineage: Eukaryota; Metazoa; Chordata; Aves; Passeriformes; Tyrannidae. The transcript is spliced from 3 exons. The record is from RefSeq and is a predicted model, not a curated record.